RNAcentral lists this ribosomal RNA (459 nucleotides) under uncultured bacterium. RNAcentral's name for it is "partial 16S ribosomal RNA". It matches the Rfam family "Bacterial small subunit ribosomal RNA", at positions 338 to 795 of the family's 1533-position model. The record is from RNAcentral.
CCUACGGGAGGCAGCAGUGAGGAAUAUUGGUCAAUGGUCGGGAGACUGAACCAGCCAAGCCGCGUGAGGGAGGAAGGUACAGAGUAUCGUAAACCUCUUUUGUCAGGGAACAAAGGCGGGGACGUGUCCCCGGAUGCGUGUACCUGAAGAAAAAGCAUCGGCUAACUCCGUGCCAGCAGCCGCGGUAAUACGGAGGAUGCGAGCGUUAGCCGGAUUUAUUGGGUUUAAAGGGUGCGCAGGCGGUCUGUUAAGUCAGCGGUCAAAGCCCGGGCCUCAACCCCGGCCCGCCGUUGAAACUGGCAGUCUCGAGUUGGAGAGAAGUAUGCGGAAUGCGCGGUGUAGCGGUGAAAUGCAGAGAUAUCGCGCAGAACUCCGAUUGCGAAGGCAGCAUGCCGGCUCCACACUGACGCUGAGGCACGAAAGCGUGGGUAUCGAACAGGAUUAGAUACCCUUGUAGUC